AUACGGAGGGUGCAAGCGUUACUCGGAAUCACUGGGCGUAAAGCGCGCGCAGGCGGUCUUUUAAGUUGGAUGUAAAAGCCUACGGCUCAACCGUAGAACUGCAUCCAAAACUAUUAGACUAGAGUGUGGGAGAGGAAGAUGGAAUUAGUUGUGUAGGGGUAAAAUCCGUAGAGAUAACUAGGAAUACCAAAAGCGAAGGCAAUCUUCUGGAACACUACUGACGCUGAGGCGCGAAAGCGUGGGGAGCAAACAGGAUUAGAAACCCCAGUAGUCC
This 274-nucleotide ribosomal RNA is filed under the name uncultured bacterium. Its description in RNAcentral is "partial 16S ribosomal RNA". It matches the Rfam family "Bacterial small subunit ribosomal RNA", at positions 523 to 796 of the family's 1533-position model. The record is from RNAcentral.